AGUGUAGGCGGGAUCGUAAGUUAGGAGUUUAAUGCAUGGGCUUAACCCAUGAUCUGCUUUUAAUACUGCGGUUCUUGAGUAUGGGAGAGGGCGAUGGAAUUCCAGGUGUAGCGGUGGAAUGCGUAGAUAUCUGGAAGAACACCAGUAGCGAAGGCGGUCGCCUGGCCCAAUACUGACGCUGAUGCUCGAAAGCUAGGGGAGCAAACAGGAUUAGAUACCCUGGUAGUCCUAGCCGUAAACGAUGGACACUAGUUGCUGGAGGAGUCAAUCCUUUCGGUGACGAAGCUAACGCAUUAAGUGUCCCGCCUGGGGAGUACGUUCGCAAGGAUGAA
This 332-nucleotide ribosomal RNA is filed under the name uncultured bacterium. Its description in RNAcentral is "bacterial SSU rRNA". It matches the Rfam family "Bacterial small subunit ribosomal RNA", at positions 568 to 898 of the family's 1533-position model. The record is from RNAcentral.